GACGAACGCUGGCGGCGUGCCUAAUACAUGCAAGUUGAGCGCUGAAGGUUGGUACUUGUACCAACUGGAUGAGCAGCGAACGGGUGAGUAACGCGUGGGGAAUCUGCCUUUGAGCAGGGGACAACAUUUGGAAACGAAUGCUAAUACCGCAUAAAAACUUUAAACACAAGUUUUAAGUUUGAAAGAUGCAAUUGCAUCACUCAAAGAUGAUCCCGCGUUGUAUUAGCUAGUUGGUGAGGUAAAGGCUCACCAAGGCGAUGAUACAUAGCCGACCUGAGAGGGUGAUCGGCCACAUUGGGACUGAGACACGGCCCAAACUCCUACGGGAGGCAGCAGUAGGGAAUCUUCGGCAAUGGACGAAAGUCUGACCGAGCAACGCCGCGUGAGUGAAGAAGGUUUUCGGAUCGUAAAACUCUGUUGGUAGAGAAGAACGUUGGUGAGAGUGGAAAGCUCACCAAGUGACGGUAACUACACAGAAAGGGACGGCUAACUACGUG
Molecule: ribosomal RNA, 497 nt
Filed under: uncultured bacterium
Lineage: Bacteria
Description: partial 16S ribosomal RNA
Rfam family: Bacterial small subunit ribosomal RNA
Source: RNAcentral